RNAcentral lists this long non-coding RNA (3080 nucleotides) under Homo sapiens (human). RNAcentral describes it as "HSALNT0210348". Lineage: Eukaryota; Metazoa; Chordata; Mammalia; Primates; Hominidae. The record is from RNAcentral.
GUUAUGAUCAACUCAGUAUACCACUGGAGGCUACAGGAGCAAACAGCAAACUGUUUCUCAUGAAAGCAGGAUGUUCAAAGCAGGAUGUUGGCAAAAUGACAAACUGCAUCUGCCACCCAGAAGGAAUGCUGAGGGCAGUCAUGCCCCAAGUGCAGUGUUUUUGUGAUUAGGCACAACUGAAGCUUGUUAGCAAUAAUAUGACCCUGUGAUUAAUUGAGCGGCUGACCAAUCAUUACCUCCUCCUCCCUGCUCUUUCUACCCAAUAAAUACAAAGGGCUGUGGAAGCUCAAUGGGCUGCCUUUGCUCAUUAGAAGCAGGGAGCUCUCUUCUUCUUCCCCUGGAUCCUUCCUUUAAAAUAGUUUCUUUUGUCUUAAGUUUUCAUUUCUACGUUUGUCCCUUCAUUCAGUCUCUUAAAUGACGGUCUCAAGCAGUAACAGUAGUAAUUGCUGUAAUGACGGUCUCAAGUAGUAACCAGGGCACUCUGCCACAAGUGGCACCUGAACAGGGACUAACAGGGACUAUCAAGAACAAACGGAGACCUGAAGAGACCUGAAGGGAACUGAAGAGGUCUGCAGGGACAAAUAGAGAUAAGUAGGGAUAAAUAGAGAUAAAUAGAGACAAAUAGAGAUAGGUAAGGAAUGACAGGGACUUGCAGGAAGUAACAGGGACCAUAGGGACAGAUAGGGAUAGAUAAAGACUAGCAAAGACUAGCCGAGAUUAGCAAAGACCAGCAAGGACUAGCAGAGACUAGCAAAGACUAGCAGAAACUUGCAGGGACAGGCAGAGACAGAUAGGGACAGAUAGGGUCCUACAGGGACUUGAACGAGGAAGAUCUGCUGGAAAAGAAAAGAACUACAACCAACCAGAUGAACAAGAAACCCUGUUACAAGUCUGCUGGCAGCAACAUAAGGAUGAUGCCCAUUCUAUUUCCUAGGAAGGGAUAAGUUUUAAGGCCUUAUAAAAAGUGACACAAAGUGAACCGGGUUCUAUAAAUUACCAUGGAAAGUGGUGAGCCAACGAUUUGGCAGAACAAAACCCUGAGGAUAUGCAAACAAAAGGGACUAUGGAAUUUGCAAUUGCAGAUUAAAAUUGAAGAAGAAAACAUUUGAGUUGCAAAUACCGUAUUAAAAGUGGACACUGCUUAUGACUGCUGUAUGCAACAGUUUUUCAGGCCCGAGAGGAACCCAGACAUGCUCUAUUUGCAAACCGACUGCAUGAAACAAAAAGCACGGUAAUUCUGAAGCUGUUGGCUUGGAUGAAAUGAGAAUGUAAUUAAAAAGAAAAAGGUUAGCAAAAGAACAUGCUGGGAAUUGAAAAUAAAAAUCUGAAAUGAUGUCCCAGCCUGCCCUUAAGGUCUUUUCCACCAUGUAGAGAGCUACCUCAAAUGCUCUACUUGUCCCAGAGUCUAUGUUCUUUCACUACUAUUGCCUAUAUCUGUGUUUUCUGCUUUCAAUAAUCUAUUGAAAUAAUCAAAAUUAAUUACAUUCAGCAUUUUUUCUGUAUUACUCUGAUUCUAAUAAUUACCUCAAAUUUAUUUGUGCAUUUCUAUACUAGAAAGAAAAAAUAAUUUUUAGAGUUUUACUAUAUCUUCCCCUUAAUUCUAAGUUGCUUGUCACUAAUUCCUUUCCCAACACUAUGUUAUUUCCACCAAGAACAUUACCAAUAUCUUCAGGAAAAUUCCACCCCAUAUUUUAAGCCAGAUUGAUUAUUGGGAAUAUAAAUACAUUUAAGAAGGAAAGUCUUUUUGACUGUGUUUCUCCACAGACCAAUAGUAUACAAAACACAGAAGGCUUUUAAGCACAUUUCAUAGGGAUCACUGACUUAGAACAGAAGGAACCAUUUCGUGAAACACUCUCAUUUUGCACAUAAAGGAGCUGUGGCCCACAGAGGAAUAUGAUUUACUGAGAGUGACCCAGUUAGUGGCCAUAAACCAAAAGCCCCAAGAUGCUAAAUGUUUGUUAUGAAGAGUAAAAAUCCUCCCAGUUUAUAAGAAGUAACUUCAUCCUUCCAUUUUCUAUUUCCACGAUGACUCCCCUGGCUUAAAUUUUAAUCUCUAUUUUGGAUGACUCCAAAAUCUCAUUCUUCUAAAUUAAUUAUCUAAUACCACAAUGUUGCACUUAUCUUCCUACAAAUCUACUUUCAUCUGCCUUGACAAAGCCAACCCUAAUUUUCUCUAGUCCUCAUUAGAAAUUAUUGCAACAAAAAUUCACAUCCAGUCUGAAGUUUGGGAGCCAGAAAAGAAUUUUCCCAUUAAGAUGAGACAGUAUCAAUUAUUAAGCAGAGGAAGACACAAGAGGGAAAGCAGCUUUCACAUGAAAAAAAAAGAACUCUGAUUUUCUGACACAUUUUGUCAUUGCAGUCAAACUUUCAGAGUUAGAACUAGAGACCUAGAUAUUAGCUAACCCAGCAUUUUCCAAGUAUUCCUCGGAACUCUAGAGGCACAGCAUAGUACUGGUAAUGAUUUUGUGGCAGGAUAGAUUAAGGAAACCUCACAGUUAUACCAAGUUAAAUUCAUUUAUUUCAUGUAAAAUUCUGAUAGCCUUUUAUGCUACUAGGCCUAGUGAUACUCCAAAAUUAUUGGCCAUAUAUCUGAAAUUUAUUUCAGCAAGAAACCCUUUAAAGAGCAUCCCGCAGAGUUAGUGUUUUGAGGGAUAUCAUUGGGGAAAAUGCUGAUCUAGACCAAUUCAACAAAUUGUAACUUAGUUAACACCAGAGUCAAAACAAAAACCAAGUCUACUCAUGUCUGUCUUAGGCCCUUUUGGUCACAAAAACACGUUCAAACCACUUCAAUUAAGAAAAUGGUGAGAGGGGAAAAGACAAGCAGGGAACCUUAUCCCAGGUGGGCUGAUCACAGGACUUCCAAGGCUGUCCCUUAGAAGAGUCACGAUAAUGGCAUCUCUAGCACAAAACUCAAAUUUAGUUUUAAUUCUUAGUCGAAUAAUAAUACAGUAAAAUUUAUUGCAUGCAUAAGGAUAAUACAUUAAAACUACUUAAAUUACAUUUUAGGGCCGGGCGCGGUGGCUCACGCCUGUAAUCCCAGCACUUUGGGAGGCCGAGGCGGGUGGAUCACGAGGUCAGGA